This 497-nucleotide ribosomal RNA is filed under the name uncultured bacterium. RNAcentral's name for it is "partial 16S ribosomal RNA". It matches the Rfam family "Bacterial small subunit ribosomal RNA", at positions 28 to 507 of the family's 1533-position model. The record is from RNAcentral.
GAUGAACGCUGGCGGCGUGCCUAAUACAUGCAAGUCGAGCGAACAGACGAGGAGCUUGCUCCUCUGACGUUAGCGGCGGACGGGUGAGUAACACGUGGAUAACCUACCUAUAAGACUGGGAUAACUUCGGGAAACCGGAGCUAAUACCGGAUAAUAUAUUGAACCGCAUGGUUCAAUAGUGAAAGACGGUUUUGCUGUCACUUAUAGAUGGAUCCGCGCCGCAUUGGCUAGUUGGUAAGGUAACGGCUUACCAAGGCAACGAUGCGUAGCCGACCUGAGAGGGUGAUUCGCCACACUGGAACUGAGACAAGGGCCAGACUCCUACGGGAGGCAACAGUAGGGAAUCUUCCGGAAUGGGCGAAAGCCUGACGGAGCAACGCCGCGUGAGUGAUGAAGGUCUUCGGAUCGUAAAACUCUGUUAUUAGGGAAGAACAAAUGUGUAAGUAACUAUGCACGUCUUGACGGUACCUAAUCAGAAAGCCACGGCUAACUACGUG